CGAGGCGAACCGGGGAAACUGAAACAUCUCAGUACCCCAAGAAAAAGAAAUCAACCGAGAUUCCCCCAGUAGCGGCGAGCGAACGGGGAGCAGCCCAGAGUCAACAUCAAUAUUUACCACAGGAGAAGGGUCUGGAAAAGCCGGCAAUAAAGGGUGAUAGCCCCGUAUCUAAAGCGGUAAGUGUUGUGAACUCGAAGAGUAGGGCGGGACACGUGUUAUCCUGUCUGAAUAUGGGGGGACCAUCCUCCAAGGCUAAAUACUCCUGACUGACCGAUAGUGAACCAGUACCGUGAGGGAAAGGCGAAAAGAACCCCGGCGAGGGGAGUGAAAUAGAACCUAAAACCGUGUACGUACAAGCAGUAGGAGCACCCGAAAGGGUGUGACUGCGUACCUUUUGUAUAAUGAGUCAGCGACUUAUAUUCUGUAGCGAGGUUAACCGCAUAGGGGAGCCGUAGGGAAACCGAGUCUUAACUGGGCGUUAAGUUGCAGGGUAUAGACCCGAAACCCGGUGAUCUAGCCAUAAGCAGGUUGAAG
Molecule: ribosomal RNA, 534 nt
Filed under: Arsenophonus endosymbiont of Bemisia tabaci
Lineage: Bacteria; Pseudomonadati; Pseudomonadota; Gammaproteobacteria; Enterobacterales; Morganellaceae
Description: partial 23S ribosomal RNA
Rfam family: Bacterial large subunit ribosomal RNA
Source: RNAcentral